RNAcentral lists this transfer RNA (71 nucleotides) under Mus musculus (house mouse). It matches the Rfam family "tRNA". Rfam says of the family: Transfer RNA (tRNA) molecules are approximately 80 nucleotides in length. Their secondary structure includes four short double-helical elements and three loops (D, anti-codon, and T loops). Lineage: Eukaryota; Metazoa; Chordata; Mammalia; Rodentia; Muridae. The record is from Rfam by way of RNAcentral. RNAcentral also lists the same sequence under 1 other name.
UAGGGUGUGGCUCAGUGGUAGAGCCUUUUCCUGGCAUGCACGAGCUCUGGGUUCGAGUCCCAGCACUGUAA